Molecule: ribosomal RNA, 301 nt
Filed under: uncultured bacterium
Lineage: Bacteria
Description: partial 16S ribosomal RNA
Rfam family: Bacterial small subunit ribosomal RNA
Source: RNAcentral
CAGUCGCCGCGGGAAUACAGAGGGUGCGAGCGUUAAUAGGAUUUACUGGGCGUAAAGCGUGCGUAGGCGGCUUCUUAAGUCGGAUGUGAAAUCCCUGAGCUUAACUUAGGAAUUGCAUUCGAUACUGGGAAGCUAGAGUAUGGGAGAGGAUGGUAGAAUUCCAGGUGUAGCGGUGAAAUGCGUAGAGAUCUGGAGGAAUACCGAUGGCGAAGGCAGCCAUCUGGCCUAAUACUGACGCUGAGGUACGAAAGCAUGGGGAGCAAACAGGAUUAGAUACCCCAGUAGUCCCUGUCUCUUAUAA